AGUGGCGGACGGGUGAGUAACGCGUGAGAAUCUGCCUUGGGGUCGGGGACAACCACUGGAAACGGUGGCUAAUACCGGAUACGCCUUCGGGUAAAAGAUUUAUUGCCCUAAGAGGAGCUCGCGUCUGAUUAGCUAGUUGGUGAGGUAAGAGCUCACCAAGGCAGCGAUCAGUAGCUGGUCUGAGAGGACGAUCAGCCACACUGGGACUGAGACACGGCCCAGACUCCUACGGGAGGCAGCAGUGGGGAAUUUUCCGCAAUGGGCGAAAGCCUGACGGAGCAAGACCGCGUGAGGGAGGAAGGCUCUUGGGUUGUAAACCUCUUUUCUCAGGGAAGAAGCUCUGACGGUACCUGAGGAAUCAGCCUCGGCUAACUCCGUGCCAGCAGCCGCGGUAAUACGGAGGAGGCAAGCGUUAUCCGGAAUUGUUGGGCGUAAAGCGUCCGCAGGUGGCGAUUCAAGUCUGCUGUCAAAGCACGGGGCUUAACUCCGUAAAGGCAGUGGAAACUGAAUAGCUAGAGUGCCGUAGGGGUAGAGGGAAUUCCCGGUGUAGCGGUGAAAUGCGUAGAGAUCGGGAAGAACAUCGGUGGCGAAAGCGCUCUACUGGACGGCAACUGACACUCAGGGACGAAAGCUAGGGGAGCGAAUGGGAUUAGAUACCCC
This 660-nucleotide ribosomal RNA is filed under the name uncultured bacterium. RNAcentral describes it as "bacterial SSU rRNA". It matches the Rfam family "Bacterial small subunit ribosomal RNA", at positions 94 to 788 of the family's 1533-position model. The record is from RNAcentral.